RNAcentral lists this small RNA (2570 nucleotides) under Oryza sativa Japonica Group (Japanese rice). RNAcentral's name for it is "sRNA Os07g0486200". The record is from RNAcentral. Lineage: Eukaryota; Viridiplantae; Streptophyta; Magnoliopsida; Poales; Poaceae.
AAUAAAUUGCCUAUAUAAGCCACUGAUCUAUGCUUUCUGUUGCCGUUUAGUGAACAGUUGUUCUGCUGCACACACCAUUAACCCGACUCCAGUAGAGAACGCGACCAGUUUGAUCCAUGUUCAGUGAAGUCCUCCAGCCGCUUGGCAUAAUUAUCUUCUGUCGUCAACCCAUGCAAUGUACAAUUAUAUUUACGGCAUCGUAUAUGUUUUCUUUCUGAAAAUGCGGUUAUCAGGCGAAUGCUAAAAACACUCGCAAAACCCUGAAUGUUGUUAGACUCAUGCAAGUUUGUCGCGGCUCUUCAAUGAUCUGAUUAUACUCGUCAAGAACUGCUUUUCACCACGGUAUCUUGAUGAGAAACCCAGGCACAUUAUGCCUAUCGCCAUGUGAAUGGGAAGGGUCUGCUUGAACCUGUUUCUAUUCAGAAACAUCCUUUCAGAGAAAGCUGUGGUCAGGCCAGAAAUGAGCAACACACCCCAGCCUGCCGGCAAGCAGUGGCGGAAAGAGAAUGAGCCCUGUAAAAUAAAUCUUUAAUGAAUGCCGCUGAAUAUGUGAUUCGCAGCAGCAUAUCUUUACAAACAGUCAAGGCACAAAGAAAGUUCUUAAAAGAUACUUUAAAGGAAAUAAGAUGGUAGUGAUUAACCAAAGGAUACUGAUGGAAUUUGCAGCAAUCAACCCAACUGCACCAGCAGAUUUAAUCAGGACAACAUUUAGCACAAUGUAAAUUGCCGAGAACAGGAGCAACAUAUCAUUUGACUGCUUAAGCUUGUCUUCAUUUGCAACAGCAUGAAGGAAAGCUUCAGAUUACAAACCAUUCAUUGCUAAGCAUAUGACGUAGAAACAAUAGUAACGAAGAAUAACUGUAGCAUCUCCAUCACUGUAUCUUGCCCCAUAAAGUAGUCUAAGAAGGGUAUAUGAAUAACUUGGACCAAAUGAGAUGACCACCAAGCCUGCAAACAUAAUAAGCUUAAGAGCUCCGAGCAAAGAACCUUCCAAAUUGGAUAUAUUCUGGGGAUUUUAACCUGAUGCCAACUGUGCAAAUGUAGCAUAAGAACUCUCCUCGAAUGGCAGGAAAACUAUUCUAACAACCAGACUACCUAAUUUAUCCACAAGACCAUAGGCAGCCUGGUUAUAUGGAGUAUCAAACCAAACAAGAACAAACUUUUCGCCUUCUUGGAGCAUCAGUUUCCUGAAAGUCUGAACCUGAAUGGAAGGAGAUCGGAAAUUUUGGUAUUUGUAAAUAUAAGAAAAUAGGUCCAAUAUCCAAAGAAAAUGCAAGCUGCAUAGACAACCUGUGACAAAGCAAAUACAACCAACUUUUCCUGCAAGAAAUAAAUUAUUCCAGAUUAUACACUUAUAUUUGGAAAAAUAGAACUCUAAAGAGGUUUAGUUGUUCUAUGUUAUCAUAUUCACUUUUUUUGUGGGUUAACUUAAUCCUAAUUAAUAAAGUUAAAAUGUCACAACCUGAUUAAGUUAAUCCUCUCUAACCCACAUCCUGUUAACCCUGAACAAAUGUAGCUAAGAGAGAAAUCUCACACCAAGUUAUUUUCUUUGGUGCAUGGACCAAAAGAACACAAUAUGAAAUUGGCAAUGGAACUUUUUGAUUUGCUAGCUUUCACAAUGUAACCAUAACCAAAUAGAUGGCUAUACCAGUAUCAGGUGUAAACAACAAAAACAAUGUGAACUUAAGCAUUUUAUUUUAUCAGUGAUAACAAACUGAGACAGAAAGUGCAUAAUAAGUUGAAUAGAACUACGCAAGCAAAUGCUGUCAUAUUGAAUCAACUAAAUACAUUAGCUCUCAACGUGAGGAAAGUGGACAGAAGUCACACAAUAUGAAAAAAAUAAGGCAAAACAUGUGGAGUGAUAUCAUACAAACAGGAAAGACAAAGCCAUUCAUAGCCGUGCUUUUAUAGAUCAUAUCCAAAUAGAAAAACAAAUAGAUAAAUGUCUAAAAGGACCAUCUUGAAAUGCUACAAAUAACUGUAUGCUUGCAUGAAUGCUCAUCUCCAUUUUAUUGAUCAAGAGCCAGGUGUUCAACAAUUGCAUGGAAGAUAUAAUAUUUCAGCACCACUAACGAGUUAAUAUGUGGAAUAUUCUAACUUAAUCAACUGAUUCAUUCAUUCCAAAGAGCUUAUCCUCAAUCAACUGACUCAUUCACUCUGACGAAUUUAUACUAAAUGAAAUAUCAGUCACCAUAUUCAGGACAAAUACACAAAGCUUGUACAGAAACUUGGUUAAUACAAAGCUUACCGAUAAUUAAUGUAGCUUUAGCAUAGGUAUCGGAUAACCGCAAUUUCUUUACCCUCAACACAAAUAAGCUGCUGAUAAAGGAAACUAAGAUGCCAAAUGGGACAAUCAUCCAAGCUACCUUUAGUAUCUCUUCAUCACUUAUCGCAUUGCCACUAAUCAUUACGCAAGCAUGCACGCCGAAACCCCUCCCGGCUUAAAAAUAGGACGCAGUUGAUGAAGAGAGGAAGCUGGGAUCCCGCACCGCGCAGUCGUCGGCGCUGAGCUGGCGCACGAACCAGCUGUUGUAGAGGAAGGGGGUGACCCUGGAUAGGAACUGCGCCGC